AUGUCCAUGGCAGCACCACCGCCACGCCGCCGCCCCUCGCUCCCGUACGAGCUCGUCGAGGAGAUCCUCCUCCGCCUCCCACCCGACGACCCAGCCUGCCUCCUCCGCCUCUCCUUCGCCUGCAAGGCCUGGGGCCGCGCCGCCUCCCAGCCCGGCUUCCGCCGCCGAUUCAUCGAGCAGCAUCAGCAUCGGCCACCGCCCUUGAUCGGCUUCCUCCACAACUGGGAGGACGAGCGCGUCCCCCGCUUCCUCUCCACCACCGCCUCGCCCUUCUCCCUCCCCGCCCCGGACCGCGCCUCCUGGCUCGCCCUCGACUGCCGCCACGGCCGCGCCCUCUUCCUCUCAGAGGGAUCUGGUGCUCAGCAACUCCUUGUGUGGGAUCUAAACACGGGCAUCCGGCGGCGCAUACCAGUGCCCCCGCUGCACAGCAGCUACGUGUCCCCGACCGCGGCCGUGCUCUGCCCAGCGGACGGGUGCGACCACCGCGACUGCAACGGGGGCCCCUUCCGCGUGGUCUUCGUCUUCACCGUGUACCGACUUCAGAUCAUGUAUGCUGGUCUCACGUCGGUGUGCGUCUACUCGUCAGAGACUGGCACCUGGUCCGGUGCACUGAAGAAGAUUAGUCACAGAUCCGACGCAUUGAAGUUCACAUGUCAUUCCAGCCUGCUCCUUGGGAGGUCUCUGCUCUACUUCAUGUCCGACCGUGGGUUCAUCCUAGAGUAUGACUUGACCAGCAACGUCCUAAUUGGGUUCGAGACGCCGGACGUGAACUUUGACCCCAUAUUUAACCUCAUGGUGGCGGAAGAUGGUGGAAUAGGAGUUAGCGAAGGCUUCAGUUCCCAUCUCAAAUUGUGGUCAAGGGAGGAGGGUGAUGCAGAAUGGGUAAUUAGCCGGGUCAUCGACCUGCAAAAUUUGCUCCCACCUGCUGCUCUCGUGGAUGCAGAGGCUGAAGUGAUGGUAUUGGGAUUUGCCGAGGGAGUGAAUGUCAUUUUCGUUAACACGGUGGCUGGCCUCUUCACAAUCGAGCUACAGUCGGAGCGGGUGAAGAAGGUGUGUGAUAAUCAUGGCUUCUGUAAUUUGAUUCCAGUUGUCAGCUUCUGCACUCCUGUGGACCGUCUCAAAUACCAGGACCUGCUGCCGUCGAUCCCUAGUGAGGAUGUAGGUGAUGAGGAGGGGGGAGAGGAGGACAAAACAGUAGAUGAGGCACAGCAGCUGCUUGACAAGGGGUCCAAUACUAUCAAGGAAGGUGGCUUUGUCGACGCCGUUGAACGUGCCAGCCAUGACCUCAAUGCCAGUGAACAGAGCCAGGUGAAUGAUUCUUUGGAUGAUGUUUCCAGGAGUGCAUCAAAUGAAGAAUCGGUGAAGGACACAGCCAGCGAAGAUGAUGCUAAGGACUCAAAGACCUCUGGUAGCAAUGGUGAGGAUGCUGCUCCAUCUUUGGAGAAAGGCGAUUCUUAA
This 1458-nucleotide ribosomal RNA is filed under the name Triticum aestivum (bread wheat). RNAcentral's name for it is "partial small subunit ribosomal RNA". Lineage: Eukaryota; Viridiplantae; Streptophyta; Magnoliopsida; Poales; Poaceae. The record is from RNAcentral.